AUUGAACGCUGGCGGCAUGCUUUACACAUGCGAGUCGAACGGCAGCGCGGGCUUCGGCCUGGCGGCGAGUGGCGAACGGGUGAGCAAUACAUCGGAACGUGCCCAGUAGUGGGGGAUAGCUCGGCGAAAGCCGGAUUAAUACCGCACACGACCUGAGGGUGAAAGCGGGGGAUCUUCGGACCUCGCGCCAUUGGAGCGGCCGAUGGCGGACUAGCUAGUUUGUGGGGUAAAGGCCUACCAAGGCGACGAUCUGUAGCUGGUCUGAUGGGACGACCAGCCACGCUGGGACUGAGACACGGCCCAGACUCCUACGGGAGGCAGCAGUGGGGAAUUUUGGACAAUGGGCGAAAGCCUGAUCCAGCAAUGCCGCGUGUGUGAUGAAGGCCUUCGGGUUGUAAAGCACUUUUGGCGGGAACGAAAAGGACUGUGCCAAUACCACGGUUCGAUGACGGUACCCGCAGAAUAAGCACCGGCUAACUACGUG
Molecule: ribosomal RNA, 484 nt
Filed under: uncultured bacterium
Lineage: Bacteria
Description: partial 16S ribosomal RNA
Rfam family: Bacterial small subunit ribosomal RNA
Source: RNAcentral